ACGGAAGGCAGCAGUGGGGAAUAUUGCACAAUGGGCGAAAGCCUGAUGCAGCGACGCCGCGUGAAUGAUGAAGUAUUUCGGUAUGUAAAGUUCUAUCAGCAGGGAAGAAACAUGACGGUACCUGACUAAGAAGCACCGGCUAAAUACGUGCCAGCAGCCGCGGUAAUACGUAUGGUGCAAGCGUUAUCCGGAUUUACUGGGUGUAAAGGGAGCGCAGGCGGCGCGGCAAGUCUGAUGUGAAAGCCCGGGGCUCAACCCCGGUACUGCAUUGGAAACUGUCGUGCUAGAGUGUCGGAGGGGUAAGCGGAAUUCCUAGUGUAGCGGUGAAAUGCGUAGAUAUUAGGAGGAACACCAGUGGCGAAGGCGGCUUACUGGACGAUAACUGACGAUGAGGCUCGAAAGCGUGGGGAGCAAAUAGGAUUAGAUACCCUGGUA
Molecule: ribosomal RNA, 435 nt
Filed under: uncultured Lachnospiraceae bacterium
Lineage: Bacteria; Bacillati; Bacillota; Clostridia; Lachnospirales; Lachnospiraceae
Description: partial 16S ribosomal RNA
Rfam family: Bacterial small subunit ribosomal RNA
Source: RNAcentral